Molecule: non-coding RNA, 230 nt
Organism: Pelobates cultripes (western spadefoot toad)
Lineage: Eukaryota; Metazoa; Chordata; Amphibia; Anura; Pelobatidae
Source: the annotation of a GenBank genome assembly
GCCAUUUAUGUAGCGCCAACAGAACCUGUAGCGCUUUACAAUAUUAAAAGAGGGGGGGGGAUUUAACUAUGAAAAGGACAAUUACAAGAAAACAUACAGGAACGAUAGGUUGAAGAGGACCCUGCUUGAAGGAGCUUACAGUCUAUAGAUCACUAAAUGCUGCUCCAUAAUACACAUUUUUAUCCGAAAAUCAUUAUUUAAAAUGGUGUUGUGGUGCAUCUUUAUAGUGG